Molecule: ribosomal RNA, 633 nt
Filed under: Quambalaria cyanescens
Lineage: Eukaryota; Fungi; Basidiomycota; Exobasidiomycetes; Microstromatales; Quambalariaceae
Description: eukaryotic LSU rRNA
Rfam family: 5.8S ribosomal RNA (bases 180-333)
Source: RNAcentral
GAGUUCGGUGUGAUUUAGGACUCCACUCUGUGGAUCCCGACCCUCACAUUAUCCACAUACACUUGUGCACUGUUGGUUAGGUGUGAACCUUUGGUUUAUCGCCUGCCAACGCCAAUUAUACAAACUCUGAGAACUAUGAAUGUGAAUUUAACUUGCCAAUUUUUGGCGAAAUUAAAUACAACUUUCGACAACGGAUCUCUUGGUUCUCCCAUCGAUGAAGAACGCAGCGAAUUGCGAUAAGUAAUGUGAAUUGCAGAAUUCAGUGAAUCAUCGAAUCUUUGAACGCACCUUGCGCUCCCUGGUAUUCCUAGGAGCAUGCCUGUUUGAGUGUCAUGAAUUCCUCAAACCCCAAUGUUUUGCAAAAUUCAUUGCUUGGGUUUGGUUGUGGGCCUAUAUUGCUGCUUCACGGCAGCUGGCCUUAAAGAUAUUAGCUGGACUCUCCGAGACUCUUGGAUAGUUCCACUUGAUGUGAUAAAUUUGCAUCGGUGGGUCAAGACUAUGCUUGGGAAGUGUGAGAAGUCUGCUUCUAAUCCGGCGAGAGGUUCCAUCCUCGACCCAAUUCAUUUACAACUCUGGCCUCAAAUCAGGUAGGACUACCCGCUGAACUUAAGCAUAUCAAAGCCCGGAGAGGAA